CCUGUACGAGAAAGUGUAUUGUUCUCGGUUUUCCUGUUCGAUCAUGCACGGGUUCUUUCCGCGAACGUAAACCGAGUUUCGCAGGUUCGAUAACAAACCGAUCGUCCGCAGUGAUUUUACUACCAACCAGUGGCACUCGUCUUUUCCAGUUUUCCCGUCGCUUUCGUUUUGUGUUAAUUUUUCUUAAAUUCUCGUAAUACAACGUUGUUUUGUUUUCCGUUUAAAAACGAAUACGUUCGAAUGUACCGACACGCCGGGCGCGGAAGAGUUUUUAAUGUCAAACGUAAUACGACUCGCCGCGCUAAAUUGCACGACGGUGUACGAUUUCAGUGCGCUCUGUGCCCGAAAAUGUUUUCGCGUAAAGACAGCCACGAUGUCCACGUUAAAAUUAUCCACCACGACGGAAGAGUCGCUCUGCCGACUAUUGCCCGGCAAGCCGGUCCUUCGAAUAUUAUUCCGCAAUCGCUGACAUAUCGAAUGACGGGCCGUCCAACAAAGAUGUACGGGGGAGCGGCUUCGAAGACAACGACGAGUUGCUUGCGGCACUUGACAUGGAUUUCGAAAUGGAUAAUGGUGAGAUUUAUUUUUUUAUGCCCCACACCACGUAGGGAAUCAGCUUUAAUUUUUUGUCUCUGUAGGUAGGAAACGUGUACUUAAAGAAGAUGCCGCAGCCAGAGUGAAAAAAACUAGCCUGUCUCUAGUGAAAACACCGGGAUUCAUAGAAAUCGAUUCUUCUUUCAACCCCAAUAUUCGUAUGGUAAAAAACAAAAAAAACGGUACAUACCGUUUUUCCGCUUAAAGUGACCGUAGUGGAGAAGACUGACCAUUUCGACCUGCUGUUAAUAAACGAAAACGAAAAGUCCCAUUAUACUUACAUCUCUAACUUUUCUCGUCUCGUCAGAUCUCAAAAAACCAAACAUAAUGAGGAAGUAAUUUUCUGUAAACGGUGCUUCACGGAUUUCGAUAACGGACCGAGGAUGAAAUUGAGCGGGCAGGCCGCACUCGAUUAACAUAAAUUAAUUUGCGGUGAACACAAACCAAUUUUGCCCGUAAUGCCUGAACGUGGAUAAAAUAGAAAUUCGAUGCGUAAGGAAAAACAAAACGUCAUCCCAUUGUUAUAUACGCUGAUUUCGAGGCGAUAAUGGAGAAGAGGGAUGAGAGGAAAGGAAGAAACACAACUAUUUUACAAAAUCAUAUAUCGAUGUCGUACGGGUUUUUCGUAAAGUCUUUAUUCAGAUAUUUAACAAAGUUUAAUAACAAAGGCAUAAGAAGG
Non-coding RNA from Cinara cedri, 1273 nucleotides. The record is from the annotation of a GenBank genome assembly. Lineage: Eukaryota; Metazoa; Arthropoda; Insecta; Hemiptera; Aphididae.